RNAcentral lists this ribosomal RNA (253 nucleotides) under uncultured bacterium. Its description in RNAcentral is "partial 16S ribosomal RNA". It matches the Rfam family "Bacterial small subunit ribosomal RNA", at positions 524 to 776 of the family's 1533-position model. The record is from RNAcentral.
UACGGGGGGGGCAAGCGUUGUUCGGAAUUACUGGGCGUAAAGGGCUCGUAGGCGGCCAACUAAGUCAGACGUGAAAUCCCUCGGCUUAACCGGGGAACUGCGUCUGAUACUGGAUGGCUUGAGUUUGGGAGAGGGAUGCGGAAUUCCAGGUGUAGCGGUGAAAUGCGUAGAUAUCUUGAGGAACACCGGUGGCGAAGGCGACAUCCUGGACCAACACUGACGCUGAGGAGCGAAAGCCAGGGGAGCAAACGGG